Molecule: small RNA, 1303 nt
Filed under: Pongo abelii (Sumatran orangutan)
Lineage: Eukaryota; Metazoa; Chordata; Mammalia; Primates; Hominidae
Description: retained intron
Source: RNAcentral
AGCUCUGCGAGGGGCCGGAGCGCGGCGGAGCCAUGCAGUACCCGCACCCCGGGCCGGCGGCGGGCGCCGUGGGGGUGCCGCUGUACGCGCCCACGCCGCUGCUGCAGCCUGCACACCCGACGCCCUUCUACAUCGAGGACAUCCUGGGCCGCGGGCCCGCCGCGCCCACGCCCGCCCCCACGCUGCCGUCCCCCAACUCCUCCUUCACCAGCCUCGUGUCCCCCUACCGGACCCCGGUGUACGAGCCCACACCGAUCCACCCCGCCUUCUCGCACCACUCCGCCGCCGCGCUGGCAGCUGCCUACGGACCCGGCGGCUUCGGGGGCCCUCUGUACCCCUUCCCGCGGACGGUAAACGACUACACGCACGCCCUGCUCCGCCACGACCCCCUGGCCUCGAGGGUUUGAUGAUGCGCCCCGAGCCUGGCUGUGGUCGCCUGUCGGGGCUGGAGCGGGACCCUCAGUCGGGCCGGGCCUGGGGGCUAACGUUUUCACAGUGCGCCCUGAGUUUCCUUGGGUUACUGCUGGGACCGCGCAGGAGGAAGCAAAGAGUUUUUCGAGCUAGACCAACAGGAAACACAUUGACGGAAAUGUUGCCAUAGCCCAUGGGGUGGCUUUAACUGGCCGCCCCCGCGGGCUGGGUGUGAAAUCAGAGGAGGCCGCGGCUCCCCCAGCCAGGAUUGGAGGCUCCUAGCGCAGCCUAAUGCGGGCGUCCCGGCCCGAGCGCUUCCCGCGCAGCCAGGCCUUGUCGGUGCAGCAGCCCCGCUCCUCCCCAACACGCACACACCCGGUGUUCGAAAGUGCGGCUCACCAAGGGAGAUCCAAGGGGGCAAAAAGUUAUGUAUAAAUCCGAGAGCUACUGGGGAAAGAGGGUCGUGGUAUUGUAAGCCCAGCCGGUAGUGCCCAUUCUUUUCGGGGUUAAAGAUACGUCUGGAUUUAGUUCUAGGUGUGACGGCUGUGUGUCUGUGUGUGUACAAGGCUGUGUGCAUCUGCAGUGUCAGUGUGUGACUUUGGGUAUGUUUGUGUGUUGGUGGGAACGUGUUAGGUCCACGUGCCGGUGGGUGUAUGUGAAUGUGUCUGGUUGGGUGGCCUCCUGGCCUACUUUUGUCAUCGCCGGGGCCCGGCAGCUCUGGGGUCUGGCCAGGCCGCUCCAGGGCCGUGGGUGAGCGCCGCUCUUCCCGCCCGCAGGCAAACCUCUACUCUGGAGCCCCUUCUUGCAGAGGCCUCUGCAUAAAAGGAAAGGCGGCCAGGUGAGAUUCUCCAACGACCAGACCAUCGAGCUGGAGAAGAAAUUCGAGACGCAG